UUUCAUUACACAAUAAUCAUGUUAUCAUUAUUUAUCUUAAGGAUUCUCUCACUCGUGAAUUAAAGUCAGCUCCUCCUAAUAGUCUCACAAUGCAUCUAGCCAAAGCUUUCUGUAACAUUCAUAAUGAUUAUGGUCUUAAAGCAAUGGCUCAUAUUUGGUAUAUGAAGUGAUACAGGAACUGCACUACAGGUGGGAGAAUGGUAUAGCGUUACCAAGUUUAGGGAAGAGUCAUCCUGACAUGUCUUGUUGUCUCUUACAUCAGAAACUACAGGUGCAGUGGCUAGUAUCACUCCACAUGAUAUGAAUGCAUCACGUGAUAUCUUAAAUGACUCUGUACUUGACAUCAUGUUUUACGUUAGCACUUGGUUUGGACCUGAAAUUCUUAAUGGUCCGCAUUGGCAGCUGCACAAGAAAUACGUACAACGAAUUUACAAGACGUAAUUUUGAUUUUAUUUCAAAUAAUGGAACAGUGUCAAUGUUUGCUCAUUUGCUUGGUAACUUGGUAACAUAAUGUGCUAUGACCUGAUGUAUGAGACCUGUAGUAUCAAUGGACUACUGGAGAAAAAGGAAAGAGAUUGUAAACCAAUGGACAUUGAUUUAUUAACAGAUCAUUAAAAAUGAGUCUGAUAAAAAGUUGAAGAGCUGCAGAAGUUAAGAAUAAGAGUUCCGAACUUGAAUUAGAGCUAGUGAUAAAGAAAGGGUUCAAUUCUCUUAAAGAUUAAACUGGAUCACUUAUUUGCUGUUGAGUCUCCAUUGGGUAUACUCUUAAUGCUAAGGGAACACAGUCCACUAGUGAAGGAAAGCAAAGGAGCUGAUUCACUGCUGCCUUUUGCUAAGAAAUUCUUAAUGUACAUCAUCCUUAAGAUCCUGUGGCCUAUCGUUUGGAGUCCAGUAUAUGCUCAAGUGAAGCGGGUAAAGAUGGACGCUGCUAGUAGCAAACCAACACAAAAGUCAAUGAGUCUAAGCUGAAGGACCCAAGACACCAGAAGUGACACAGAAUACUAAGAGUAGCAGCAACAGCUGGACGCAAUCACUGAUAUCAGCUGUAGUAGCUUCUAGUAAUAGUGCCAAAACUUUUAAAUCAUUUGAAUAAUUUUAUUGUAGUGGAUAAUAGGAUAUUAUUUUUCUACAGA
Long non-coding RNA from Amphimedon queenslandica, 1133 nucleotides. RefSeq lists it as uncharacterized. The transcript has 7 exons. The record is from RefSeq and is a predicted model, not a curated record. Lineage: Eukaryota; Metazoa; Porifera; Demospongiae; Haplosclerida; Niphatidae.